This 967-nucleotide ribosomal RNA is filed under the name actinobacterium 00YJU. RNAcentral's name for it is "bacterial SSU rRNA". It matches the Rfam family "Bacterial small subunit ribosomal RNA", at positions 100 to 1068 of the family's 1533-position model. The record is from RNAcentral. Lineage: Bacteria; Bacillati; Actinomycetota; Actinomycetes.
UAACGGGUGAGUAACGAGCGGUGGGCAAUCUGCCCUUCACUCUGGGACAAGCCCUGGAAACGGGGUCUAAUACCGGAUACCACUCCUGCCUGCAUGGGCGGGGGUUGAAAGCUCCGGCGGUGAAGGAUGAGCCCGCGGCCUAUCAGCUUGUUGGUGGGGUAAUGGCCCACCAAGGCGACGACGGGUAGCCGGCCUGAGAGGGCGACCGGCCACACUGGGACUGAGACACGGCCCAGACUCCUACGGGAGGCAGCAGUGGGGAAUAUUGCACAAUGGGCGAAAGCCUGAUGCAGCGACGCCGCGUGAGGGAUGACGGCCUUCGGGUUGUAAACCUCUUUCAGCAGGGAAGAAGCGAAAGUGACGGUACCUGCAGAAGAAGCGCCGGCUAACUACGUGCCAGCAGCCGCGGUAAUACGUAGGGCGCAAGCGUUGUCCGGAAUUAUUGGGCGUAAAGAGCUCGUAGGCGGCUUGUCACGUCGGAUGUGAAAGCCCGAGGCUUAACCUCGGGUCUGCAUUCGAUACGGGCUAGCUAGAGUGUGGUAGGGGAGAUCGGAAUUCCUGGUGUAGCGGUGAAAUGCGCAGAUAUCAGGAGGAACACCGGUGGCGAAGGCGGAUCUCUGGGCCAUUACUGACGCUGAGGAGCGAAAGCGUGGGGAGCGAACAGGAUUAGAUACCCUGGUAGUCCACGCCGUAAACGUUGGGAACUAGGUGUUGGCGACAUUCCACGUCGUCGGUGCCGCAGCUAACGCAUUAAGUUCCCCGCCCUGGGGAGUACGGGCCGCAAGGCUAAAAACUCAAAGGAAUUGACGGGGGCCCGCACAAGGCGGCGGGAGCAUGUGGCUUAAUUCGACGCAACGCGGAGAAUCUUUACCAAGGCUUGACAUAUACCGGUAAGGCAUUAGAAGAUAGUGCCCCCCUUGUGAUCGGUAUACAGGGUGGUGCAUGGCCUGUCGUCAGCUCGUGUCGU